RNAcentral lists this long non-coding RNA (1454 nucleotides) under Anas platyrhynchos platyrhynchos (common mallard). RNAcentral's name for it is "lncRNA (ENSAPLG00000029836.1)". The record is from RNAcentral. Lineage: Eukaryota; Metazoa; Chordata; Aves; Anseriformes; Anatidae.
GACCUAAUCAGGAGGCAACAGGCCAUCCUGAUGGGGGAGGGAGGAAGGUUUUCAACUCUCCCAAGGACAAGCUUUCUGGUGUCUAGGAAAGCAUUUCCAGAUUCACUGGCCGUAAAAUAGAGGAAAACAUCUACUGAAUCUGCAGAGACAGACAGGUCACAAGAGGACAGUAGGAACCCAAACCCUCUCUGCAGGAUCUGCUACAUCAGGCGGGGGAAAAGGUGUACAGAGGGGGACACAUGGAAAAACACCUGCAAGGAAGAGCGACCAGAGAGGAUGCUGAGGUGCUGGACUGGCCGGAUGAGGACCCCAAAACUGGAACAGCUGCUCAGCUGAAAGGAGAACUGGGAAUGGAGGACCAGGAACUGCUCUCAGCCUGUGCAAGGAUCCAGUGCGGGCUGAACUCAACAUGGCUUCAGGAAAUGUUUGGCUCUUUUUCUGAACACAAAGUAAUUAACAGGUAAUGGUUUUCCUCCUAAAGCAGCAGUCUAAACAUGGUUUGGCUUAGUUAAGGAUGAUGUUUAAACACCCUCUAUUAUAUUCUGUAUAUUUUUGUAUAUUUUCAGCUGUCAACAUUGUGCUUUCCCAAAUGGACUAAAUUCAAAGAGAAAUUAACUUUGAUAUGUUUUCUUUAAGUAAUAUUUUAGUUUACUAACUUAAUUAUUUCCUGCUGUGGAAAUUAUGCCUUCUCACGAUAGCCUAACAGAGUAGCCUGCAAGGAACCACUCCUACUAUUGUCUUACGAAUAACAUAAACUAAUCUGUCUACUCAGUGCCAAAUCCAUGACUGCUUUUGUAGUUUUGAUUUUUAAGAAGUAGAGGACUGGUUUUCUGGAUUUCUGUUCAAGCACAAGCAGUUUUGAUGAAACAAGAAAAUCACCCUAUAUCCAAAGGAUACAAGAAGAGAAGUGGGAAAUGCUCCACAGGCAAGCGAGCAUGGCCCCAUUACGUGCACUGGAUGGAGGUGCUGGAUGAAGAGCAGCAGUCAGCUUCGGGGCUCCACUGGGCAAUGCCCAUGCCAAACACUCACUGACAUGGUGUGUGUGUAGAUAAGACUGGUCUUUUUUUCCUUCUGCACAGGAAUAUAAAGUUUUUCCAAGUAAGUGGUCAUUAAAAGACUGCAUAGUGAGGCUGAUAUUAGUCACUGUGCAUUACAGGGCUGGAGACUGCGAACAAGGCCGAGUACAAUCCUGCCUCUCUGAAAGCUGAUGGAAAACCUCGCUUUUGGCUCAGAGGCAGCUUUAACCAACCAUCCUAUGUGAAAGGGUGUACUGAUGAAGAAAAGUGAUAAUAUCCCUCCUUGGGUCUGAAACAUGAGAUGCCGUGUGUGCUCUGCACACCAGUGCUUCACAGUAUGGGAGGGUGGGGAAAACAAAAUCUUCCUCUAAAGGCAGAAUAGGGUGUGCUUGGCAAAGGAGCAGUCAGUUCAUGACAAUAAAUGAGCUCAAGGGUCCA